Molecule: ribosomal RNA, 427 nt
Filed under: uncultured prokaryote
Description: bacterial SSU rRNA
Rfam family: Bacterial small subunit ribosomal RNA
Source: RNAcentral
UGGGGAAUUUUCCGCAAUGGGCGCAAGCCUGACGGAGCAAGACCGCGUGAGGGAGGAGGGCCCUUGGGUUGUAAACCUCUUUUCUCAGGGAAGAAGAAAGUGACGGUACCUGAGGAAUCAGCCUCGGCUAACUCCGUGCCAGCAGCCGCGGUAAUACGGAGGAGGCAAGCGUUAUCCGGAAUUAUUGGGCGUAAAGCGUCCGCAGGUGGUUGUUCAAGUCUGCUGUUAAAGCGUGUAGCUUAACUACAUAUAGGCGGUGGAAACUACAAAACUAGAGUGCGUUCGGGGCAGAGGGAAUUCCUAGUGUAGCGGUGAAAUGCGUAGAGAUUAGGAAGAACACCGGUGGCGAAAGCGCUCUGCUAGGCCGCAACUGACACUGAGGGACGAAAGCUAGGGGAGCGAAUGGGAUUAGAUACCCCUGUAGUCC